This 1397-nucleotide ribosomal RNA is filed under the name uncultured bacterium. Its description in RNAcentral is "bacterial SSU rRNA". It matches the Rfam family "Bacterial small subunit ribosomal RNA". The record is from RNAcentral.
AGAGUCUUAUCCUGGCUCAGGAUGAACGCUGGCGGCGUGCUUAACACAUGCAAGUCGAACGAAGCAAUCUAACGGAAGUUUUCGGAUGGAAGCUAGAUUGACUGAGUGGCGGACGGGUGAGUAACGCGUGGGUAACCUGCCUCACACUGGGGGACAACAGUUAGAAAUGACUGCUAAUACCGCAUAAGACCACAGCACCGCAUGGUGCAGGGGUAAAAACUCCGGUGGUAUGAGAUGGACCCGCGUCUGAUUAGGUAGUUGGUGGGGUAACGGCCUACCAAGCCGACGAUCAGUAGCCGACCUGAGAGGGUGACCGGCCACAUUGGGACUGAGACACGGCCCAAACUCCUACGGGAGGCAGCAGUGGGGAAUAUUGCACAAUGGGGGAAACCCUGAUGCAGCGACGCCGCGUGAGCGAUGAAGUAUUUCGGUAUGUAAAGCUCUAUCAGCAGGGAAGAAAAUGACGGUACCAGACUAAGAAGCACCGGCUAAAUACGUGCCAGCAGCCGCGGUAAUACGUAUGGUGCAAGCGUUAUCCGGAUUUACUGAGCGUAAAGAGUGCGUAGGUGGCUUUACAAGUCAGAUGUGAAAUACCGCAGCUCAACUGCGGGGCUGCAUCUGAAACUGUAGAGCUAGAGUACAGGAGGGGAAAGCGGAAUUCCUAGUGGAGCGGUGAAAUGCGUAGAGAUUAGGAGGAACACCGGUGGCGAAGGCGGCUUUCUGGACUGCAACUGACACUGAGGCACGAAAGCGUGGGGAGCAAACAGGAUUAGAUACCCUGGUAGUCCACGCCGUAAACGAUGGAUACUAGGUGUGGGGCGGACCAGGUUCCGUGCCGCAGCUAACGCAAUAAGUAUCCCGCCUGGGGAGUACGGCCGCAGGGGUUGAAACUCAAAGGAAUUGACGGGGGCCCGCACAAGCAGCGGAGCAUGUGGUUUAAUUCGACGCAACGCGAAAAACCUUACCAGAACUUGACAUCCCGAUGAAAGAAAAUGGAGACAUAUUCCCUUUACUUCGGUAGACAUCGGAGACAGGUGGUGCAUGGUUGUCGUCAGCUCGUGUCGUGAGAUGUUGGGUUAAGUCCCGCAACGAGCGCAACCCUUAUUGCUAGUUACCAGCGGGUAAAGCCGGGGACUCUAGCGAGACUGCCGUGGAUAACACGGAGGAAGGUGGGGAUGACGUCAAAUCAUCAUGCCCCUUACGUUCUGGGCUACACACGUGCUACAAUGGUCUGAAACAAAGAGAAGCGAAGCCGUAAGGUGGAGCAAACCUCAAAAACCAGAUCCCAGUUCGGAUUGUGGGCUGAAACCCGCCCACAUGAAGCCGGAGUUGCUAGUAAUCGCGAAUCAGCAUGUCGCGGUGAAUGCGUUCCCGGGCCUUGUACACACCGCCCGUCA